CAGUCGCCACGGUAAAACGAAGGGGGCUAGCGUUGCUCGGAAUUACUGGGCGUAAAGGGAGCGUAGGCGGAUCGUUAAGUUGGGGGUGAAAGCCCGGGGCUCAACCUCGGAAUUGCCUUCAAUACUGGCGAUCUUGAGUAUGGAAGAGGUAUGUGGAACUCCGAGUGUAGAGGUGAAAUUCGUAGAUAUUCGGAAGAACAUCAGUGGCGAAGGCGACAUACUGGUCCAUUACUGACGCUGAGGCUCGAAAGCGUGGGGAGCAAACAGGAUUAGAUACCCCCGUAGUCCCUGUCUCUUAUAC
This 301-nucleotide ribosomal RNA is filed under the name uncultured bacterium. Its description in RNAcentral is "partial 16S ribosomal RNA". It matches the Rfam family "Bacterial small subunit ribosomal RNA", at positions 509 to 807 of the family's 1533-position model. The record is from RNAcentral.